This 511-nucleotide ribosomal RNA is filed under the name Pelophylax ridibundus (marsh frog). RNAcentral's name for it is "partial 16S ribosomal RNA". It matches the Rfam family "Bacterial large subunit ribosomal RNA", at positions 1926 to 2603 of the family's 2925-position model. Lineage: Eukaryota; Metazoa; Chordata; Amphibia; Anura; Ranidae. The record is from RNAcentral.
AACGGCCGCGGUACCCUAACCGUGCGAAGGUAGCAUAAUCACUUGUUCUUUAAAUAGGGACUCGUAUCAACGGCAUCACGAGGGCUAUACUGUCUCCUUUCUCCAAUCAGUGAAACUGAUCUUCCCGUGAAGAAGCGGGAAUUAUUGUAUAAGACGAGAAGACCCCAUGGAGCUUUAAACUCAAUAUAUACCUCUACGCAUUUAUAUCACUAUAGCCUAAGAAGAUUAUAUAUUAGUUUUGGGUUGGGGGGACCGCGGAGAAAAAAUUAACCUCCACGACAAAUAGGCCAACGCCUUUAUCUAUGAACCACAAUUCUAAGAAUCAAUAAACUGAUGUUUAAUGAUCCAAUUUUUUGAUCAACGAACCAAGUUACCCUGGGGAUAACAGCGCAAUCUACUUCAAGAGCUCCUAUCGACAAGUGGGUUUACGACCUCGAUGUUGGAUCAGGGUAUCCUAGUGGUGCAGCCGCUACUAAAGGUUCGUUUGUUCAACGAUUAAAACCCUACGUGA